CGGUAAUUCCAGCUCCAAUAGCGUAUACUAAAGUUGUUGCAGUUAAAAAGCUCGUAGUUGGAUUUCUGCGGGGACGGAGCGGCCGGUCGCAACUUGCGACUCGAGCUAGCGCUUUCCCCGCAUCCUGCCGCGAACCGUGCUACCAUUAGUUUGGUGGCGCUGGGGAUCGGCUCGAUUACUUUGAGAAAAAUAGAGUGUUCAAAGCAGGCCACACGCCUUGAAUAAGUUAGCAUGGAAUAAUGACUAAGGACUUUGGUUCUUUUCGUUGGUGUUCGGGACUGAAGUAAUGAUUGAUAGGGACAGUUGGGGCGGUCCGUAUUCCAAAGCGAGAGGUGAAAUUCUUAGACCUUCGGAAGACGAACAGCUGCGAAAGCGUUCCGCAAGGAUGUUCCCUUUGAUCAAGAACGAAAGUUGGGGGAUCGAAGACGAUCAGAUACCGUCGUAGUCUCAACUAUAAACUAUACCAGCUAGGGAUCGGCCAACGUUUAAUUAUUCGACUUGGUCGGCACCUUAUGAGAAAUCAAAGCAUCUGGGUUCCGGGGGGAGUAUGGUCGCAAGGCUGAAACUUAAAGGAAUUGACGGAAGGGCACCACCAGCCGUGGAGCCUGUGGCUUAAUUUGACUCAACACGGGAAAACUUACCAGGUCCGGACAUAGUAAGGAUUGACAGAUUGAUAGCUCUUUCUUGAUUCUGUGGGUGGUGGUGCAUGGCCGUUUUUAGUCGGUGGAUGUGAUCUGUCUGCUUAAUUGCGUUAACGGACGAGACCCCAGCCUGCUAAAUAGCGCGGCCGAGCUUUGCUCGGUGCGAGCUUCUUAGAGGGACCAUGAUGCGCGAUAGCACAAGGAAGUUUGGGGCAACAACAGGUCUGUGAUGCCCUUAGAUGUUCUGGGCCGCACACGGGCUACACUGGCGCCUGCAACGAGCAUAUCAGCUGGCCCGAGAGGGUCUUGGCUAAUCUUUGGAACCGGCGCCGUGCUUGGGAUUGACCAUUGCAAUUGUUGGUCAUGCAACGAGGAAUGCCUUGUAAACGCGAGUCAUCAGCUCGCAUUGAAUACGUCCCUGCCCUUUGUACACACCGCCCGUCGCUCCUACCGAUGAAUGUUCCGAUGAAAUUUUCGGAGAGCACCAGAGAACGGGGCUCUGCCUUGCAGAUCUGGAGGCUCAAAGUCACUUAAAUCUGAACAUUUCGAGGAAGGAGAAGUCGUAACAAGGUAGCCG
RNAcentral lists this ribosomal RNA (1218 nucleotides) under uncultured Rhizaria. Its description in RNAcentral is "SSU rRNA". It matches the Rfam family "Eukaryotic small subunit ribosomal RNA", at positions 577 to 1805 of the family's 1831-position model. The record is from RNAcentral.